This 75-nucleotide transfer RNA is filed under the name Microbispora siamensis. RNAcentral describes it as "tRNA-Gln". It matches the Rfam family "tRNA". Rfam says of the family: Transfer RNA (tRNA) molecules are approximately 80 nucleotides in length. Their secondary structure includes four short double-helical elements and three loops (D, anti-codon, and T loops). Further hydrogen bonds mediate the characteristic L-shaped molecular structure. tRNAs have two regions of fundamental functional importance: the anti-codon, which is responsible for specific mRNA codon recognition, and the 3' end, to which the tRNAs corresponding amino acid is attached (by aminoacyl-tRNA synthetases). tRNAs cope with the degeneracy of the genetic code in two manners: having more than one tRNA (with a specific anti-codon) for a particular amino acid; and 'wobble' base-pairing, i.e. permitting non-standard base-pairing at the 3rd anti-codon position. Lineage: Bacteria; Bacillati; Actinomycetota; Actinomycetes; Streptosporangiales; Streptosporangiaceae. The record is from RNAcentral.
UUCCCGGGUCGUCUAGGGGCAAGACUACAGAUUUUGGUUCUGUCAACGGAGGUUCGAAUCCUCCCCCGGGAGCCC